ACGAUGACAGGCAGAUAAGUCCACGCUUUGCAAUGUGGUGGAUUCUCAUACAACGUGCCAGUAGGGAUGGGCUCAGAAUGAGUAUAUCAAAUGACUUGGGCUGCCCUAAAAUUUGUGAGUGAGGAAGAGAGUGGUGCGUAUGCCACAUACGGAGAUCAGAGUAAAGGCAAAGAAGAGCACGGGAACAAACAUGGGACAGCUGGUCUGUUGCAAAGACAGAGGGAAAAAAAUAGUUUACACCCAGAACAAUGCAGUAAUCAGUUUCCAGUAAGCAGUAUUAAUUACCAAAAUAUCAACUAAUCUAAUCAAGAAGGAGGCUGUGGCUGUAGAACUGCAAAGACUGGCUCUGACAGGGGCAUCUGCGAUCGGAUUUGUGGAUUGGCAUGGGGGUGGGGACGAAGACAAAGACACCAUCUCUGGUAGGAAGAGAAAAUACAUGGUCAGUCACCCUUUGCCUCCAGUGACUUCAUGUCUAGGCUGAGCAGUGAAGCAAGAAAAACCUAUCUGGGGAAAUCAUCCUCCUUAGGGAGGGAAUGAGAGAGAACUUGCCCAGACUCUCCUUACUCAGACUUGAGGUCUAUGAAAGGUUUGUCUGAGUCAGGACUUGAGGAUUUGAGCCACAGUGUGUAGAGGAGGGGAAAGAAUCAUCUGAGGACCCAUCUUCUUGCGGGGGAAGGGCAGGGAUAACUACAUAAAUCAGGCAGAUAAAGACAAAAUCAUGUCCUGGAACCCCAUCAAGAAAACAGAGCCUCCUUUCCACCACACCUCAGAACUGCCAUACGGAACAAGCACGGCAUGUUUCUUCAUAGAGCAGGAGGACUGAGGAGAUGGCCAAAACAACAUCUCUACCCUACCAUUUCUGUCUACGCUGCAGCAAUGAGACAGACAAGACUGACUAAUUUCAUUAAAAAAAUACUCUAAGAUGAAUCGCUCCAGAGAAGAAAAGUGUCCCGAAGAAACAGAAUCUGAAUCAUCCAAAGUAUGUAUAAAGAUGUAUACAAACACAUGCAUGUAUUUUCCCUUGAGUAUAUAGGAAAUCUGGAAUGUAGAAGAUGGCAGUAAAUUAGAUUCAACAGACUACAUCAUAAGAAUCAAUACAAAUCAGAGUUUCAAUAAGUAAUUUGGAAGCAUUCAGAUGCAUACACUAAAGAUUUCUACAGAGGUGAGGGAGAGGAAGAACUGUGUGCAUGUGCGUGGAAUGGGGGCAGUGCAGAAAUUCCAAAAAACAUACGUGAGACCUUGAUGCUAAAUAGAUGUGGGGGGUGGGGGGAGAACCCAAGGAAACUAUUACAUUACUUUUGAUGAGAAAUGAAAGGGGAAAAAACUGAUCCACUCCAACAGCAGGAACUGACAGGCAGGAGAGAACCAGUUCCGCUAGUUCUCUUUCCUCUGCUCAUGUGACCUGGCUCCUACCAGGCAGUUGCUCUAGACCCCAGGCCUUAGCCCAACAGGCAGCUGAUAUCACUUGAACCAAACAAGCUUCUCUG
Chrysemys picta bellii (western painted turtle) is the source of this 1487-nucleotide long non-coding RNA. RefSeq lists it as uncharacterized. The record is from RefSeq and is a predicted model, not a curated record. NCBI's taxonomy places the organism in Eukaryota, Metazoa, Chordata, Testudines, Emydidae.